Molecule: ribosomal RNA, 449 nt
Filed under: uncultured bacterium
Lineage: Bacteria
Description: partial 16S ribosomal RNA
Rfam family: Bacterial small subunit ribosomal RNA
Source: RNAcentral
AACGAACGCUGGCGGCAGGCUUAACACAUGCAAGUCGAACGAGAUCUUCGGAUCUAGUGGCAGACGGGUGAGGAACACGUGGGAACAUCCCUUUCAGUUCGGAAUAACGUUGGGAAACUAACGCUAAUACCGGAUACGUCCUUCGGGAGAAAGAUUUAUCGCUGAAAGAUUGGCCCGCGUCUGAUUAGCUAGUUGGUGAGGUAACGGCUCACCAAGGCUACGAUCAGUAGCUGAUCUGAGAGGAGGCUCAGCCACAUUGGGACUGAGACACGGCCCAAACUCCUACGGGAGGCAGCAGUGGAGAAUAUUGGACAAUGGGCGCAAGCCUGAUCCAGCCAUGCCGCGUGAGUGAUGACGGCCUUCGGGUUGUAAAGCUCUUUUGUCCGGGAAGAUAAUGACGGUAACCGGAGAAGAAGCCCCGGCUAACUUCGUGCCAGCAGCCGCAGUAA